GGAGGGGUGGUAGAGCGGUUGAUUGCACCGGUCUUGAAAACCGGAGAGGUGUUAAAGCCUCCGUGGGUUCGAAUCCCACCCCCUCCACCA
This 90-nucleotide transfer RNA is filed under the name Verrucomicrobia bacterium RIFCSPHIGHO2_12_FULL_41_10. Its description in RNAcentral is "tRNA-Ser". It matches the Rfam family "tRNA". From Rfam's summary of the family: Transfer RNA (tRNA) molecules are approximately 80 nucleotides in length. RNAcentral also lists the same sequence under 2 other names. The record is from RNAcentral. Lineage: Bacteria; Pseudomonadati; Verrucomicrobiota.